Molecule: RNA transcript, 1836 nt
Organism: Aethalodelphis obliquidens (Pacific white-sided dolphin)
Lineage: Eukaryota; Metazoa; Chordata; Mammalia; Artiodactyla; Delphinidae
Gene: ZC3H8
Gene name: zinc finger CCCH-type containing 8
Exons: 10
Source: RefSeq, a predicted model, not a curated record
GGAAAAGCGCAUGAGCGGGGCGUCCUGCCCGUGGUGCGCGGCGGCCUUCUAGUGGUGUGCGGCGCCCUCCUCACGCCGUACCUGUUUCUCGGUAGCUGUCGGGCUCUGACGAGAAUGAUGGAUUUUGAGAAUCUUUUCUCCAAACCCCCCAACCCGGCUCUCGGCAAGAAGCCCGCCACGGACUCUGACCAAAGAAUCGAUGGUGAAAUAGAUGAUACAGAAGUUGAAGAAACACAAGAAGAGAAAAUAAAAUGGAAAGUAAAACUGAAGUGUGAGCAAAUUUCCAAAAAAUUUAGGCACUUUGGAAACUCUACAUCACGGAAGAAUUUGCAACGUAGAAAAUCAAGAAGUAAGGACUAUGAUGUAUAUAGUGAUAAUGAUAUCUGCAGUCAGGAAUCAGAAGAUAAUUUUGCUAAAGAGCUUCAACAAUAUAUACAAGCUAAAGAGAUGGCAAAUGCUACUCAAUCCUUAUCGCUUCCUGAAGAAUCUGUGAAGAAAGAGGGAGCAAAGGAUAUCCAGAAAGGUAAAGCUGUUAAACAAAAAAAUAAAAAUAAAAACCUUAAAGCUGUUCGCAAGAAUGGUAAACAGAAGAAAAUGAAGCGAAAAUGGCCUGGCACUGGAGACAAGGGAUCAGACGCUUCCCUGAGGGAGAGUGGCUCACAGGAACAGGAUGGUAAACCUAAAGAGAAGCAGCAGCCUGUGAGAAUGAGUCAGGGAUUCAUCAACCAACAUACGGUGCAACGCCAGGGAAAACAAAUUUGUAAAUAUUUUCUUGAAAGGAAAUGUAUUAAGGGAGACCAGUGUAAAUUUGAUCAUGCUGCAGAGAUAGAGAAGAAAAAGGAAAUGUGUAAGUUUUAUGUACAAGGAUAUUGUACCAGAGGUGAAAACUGCCUGUAUUUGCAUAAUGAAUAUCCUUGCAAGUUUUACCAUACAGGAGCAAAAUGUUAUCAGGGAGAACAUUGCAAGUUUUCACAUGCUCCCCUGACUGCUGAAACACAAGAACUGUUGGCUAAAGCUUUGGAUCCUGAAAAGAAGUCGUCAUGAAAGUAAAAUGCAUAAAAAAGAUGUGGAUGUUUGGCAAGUAGAUUUUCACAAAUGAAUGGAGUGACCCUGUCACUUCAAGAAAAACAACUGAAAGUAUAUGUUAUUGAUGAUAAAGUUCUGGUUUUUGAGCAAAAAUUACAGUUUUGGAACAUUUGAUCUGCCUCUGUGAGCUUGAAAGCUUUCCUGUACUUAAAGACUUUUUGCUUUGUAUGGAUGAAGAGUGCUUGUGUCUGCCUGUUGAAGACUAUUCAAGACUUGAUUUGGAGUGGUUUACAAGAUUCCUCACUUAAAGCGCCCUCUUGUGUCAUUACAGUGAUGUGCACCUCUUCAGUGGGUGGCGCUGAGGGAUGAAUGUAGUGUCUAAGUGAAGGGUUGGUCUUCACCAGGAUGGUUCCAGCCAUUGAAACAGGGGAGGAGCAUAUGUGACAGAGAUGCUGGCUGGUGGGUAAACGUUGUGGCAGUAUAUUGCAGAAGUCUCUUCUGAUUGAUUGCGUUUUCUCAAUAAAAUAGGAAGAAGGUUAGGCUGAGUGAGGAUGGAAGAGAGAAAACUACUGUGUUCCGCUGGGAAGACAUUGGGAUAAUAGACAAUGAAUAUACAGCUAGAUCUUUUCAUGUCAUUAAAUACAUUCACAACAUAUUUUUAUUGUUUGCUCGCAGUUCUGUUUUAUGGCUUAAAUUAUGGUUCUGUGAUCUUUUAAAACCAGUUUCCUAUUGGUGAACGAAAAAGUUGUUUCCGAUUUCCUACUGUUAUAAAUAAAACGGAGCAGUGUCUCUUGCUAUACCAUUCCUAAA